UCGAGAAUUUUUCACAAUGGACGAAAGUCUGAUGGAGCGACGCCGCGUGGAGGAUGAAGGUUUUCGGAUUGUAAACUCCUGUCACUGCAGAACAAGGAUAUGCCCGUUAACAGCGAAUGUAUUUGAUGGUAUGCGGAGAGGAAGGGACGGCUAACUCUGUGCCAGCAGCCGCGGUAAGACAGAGGUCCCGAGCGUUGUUCGGAUUCAUUGGGCGUAAAGGGUGUGUAGGAGGCUAGGUAAGUCAGGUGUGAAAUCUCAGAGCUUAACUCUGAAACUGCGCUUGAUACUGCUUGGCUAGAGGAUCGGAGGGGGUAUCGGAAUUUAUGGUGUAGCAGUGAAAUGCGUAGAUAUCAUAAGGAACACCGGUGGCGAAGGCGGAUACCUGGAAGAUUCCUGACUCUGAAACACGAAAGCCAGGGGAGCAAACGGGAUUAGAUACCCCCGUAGUCC
This 450-nucleotide ribosomal RNA is filed under the name uncultured bacterium. RNAcentral's name for it is "bacterial SSU rRNA". It matches the Rfam family "Bacterial small subunit ribosomal RNA", at positions 355 to 796 of the family's 1533-position model. The record is from RNAcentral.